UGGGGAAUAUUGCACAAUGGGCGCAAGCCUGAUGCAGCCAUGCCGCGUGUGUGAAGAAGGCCUUCGGGUUGUAAAGCACUUUCAGCGAGGAGGAAGGUGGUGAGCUUAGUACGCUCAUCAAUUGACGUUACUCGCAGAAGAAGCACCGGCCAACUCCGUGCCAGCAGCCGCGGUAAUACGGAGGGUGCAAGCGUUAAUCGGAAUUACUGGGCGUAAAGCGCACGCAGGCGGUUUGUUAAGUCAGNUGUGAAAUCCCCGGGCUCAACCUGGGAACUGCAUUUGAAACUGGCAAGCUAGAGUCUCGUAGAGGGGGGUAGAAUUCCAGGUGUAGCGGUGAAAUGCGUAGAGAUCUGGAGGAAUACCGGUGGCGAAGGCGCCCCCCUGGANGAAGACUGACGCUCAGGUGCGAAAGCGUGGGGCAGCAAACAGAUUAGAU
RNAcentral lists this ribosomal RNA (436 nucleotides) under uncultured bacterium. RNAcentral's name for it is "partial 16S ribosomal RNA". It matches the Rfam family "Bacterial small subunit ribosomal RNA", at positions 355 to 783 of the family's 1533-position model. The record is from RNAcentral.